RNAcentral lists this long non-coding RNA (397 nucleotides) under Homo sapiens (human). RNAcentral's name for it is "non-protein coding LINC01584:12". The record is from RNAcentral. Lineage: Eukaryota; Metazoa; Chordata; Mammalia; Primates; Hominidae.
CUCUGAAGAGCUUCCUAAGCUUGUAAGAAAGUGAUUCUGAAAAGCUCAACAUUUUGGUAGAAUGGAGAGAUUUGACAUUGCUUCUGCUCCAAAAGCAAAAGACUUGGCCCAGAAGCUAAAAAUCACCUGCCAUCUUGGAAAUAAUCCCUGGAGGAUCAAGUCCAAGGGGGAGAAGUGGACUGGUCACCCCAGCCGAGGUUAUCUAAGUUCCAUGGCUUACUCCAGACAGGAAGCCCCACAUCCUGCAGCCUCAUUCAUAAUCCAUAAUAGAUGGUGUUCUUGGAUCCCAAGUUGAGAAAAGAAGUUAACUAUGCACAUUUUGGCAAAGAUGCAGACCAGGGUUUGAUCUAAGCAGCUAUCACAUAAAAUAAUAAAGUACAAAUGGAAAUGGCAAAAA